Molecule: ribosomal RNA, 428 nt
Filed under: uncultured bacterium
Lineage: Bacteria
Description: bacterial SSU rRNA
Rfam family: Bacterial small subunit ribosomal RNA
Source: RNAcentral
UGGGGAAUUGUUCACAAUGGGCGCAAGCCUGAUGACGCAACGCCGCGUGGGGGAUGAAGGUCUUCGGAUUGUAAACCCCUGUCGAAUGGGACGAAUAACCUCUGGGCUAAUCACCAGAGGAAUGACGGUACCGUUAAAGGAAGCCACGGCUAACUCUGUGCCAGCAGCCGCGGUAAUACAGAGGUGGCAAGCGUUGUUCGGAAUUACUGGGCGUAAAGGGCGUGUAGGCGGUCUUCUAAGUCAGACGUGAAAUCCCCCGGCUUAACCUGGGAACUGCGUCUGAUACUGGGAGGCUUGAGUAUGGGAGAGGGAUGCAGAAUUCCAGGUGUAGCGGUGAAAUGCGUAGAUAUCUGGAGGAAUACCGGUGGCGAAGGCGGCAUCCUGGACCAUGACUGACGCUUAAGCGCGAAAGCUAGGGGAGCAAACGG